AAAAAGGUAGGCUAACUGAAAGCCUUUAGACUCAUACUCUGACGAAAUGUUAACACAUCCUUUUUG
Molecule: transfer RNA, 66 nt
Filed under: Microthoracius praelongiceps
Lineage: Eukaryota; Metazoa; Arthropoda; Insecta; Psocodea; Microthoraciidae
Description: tRNA-Met
Source: RNAcentral